This 431-nucleotide ribosomal RNA is filed under the name uncultured bacterium. RNAcentral describes it as "partial 16S ribosomal RNA". It matches the Rfam family "Bacterial small subunit ribosomal RNA", at positions 29 to 507 of the family's 1533-position model. The record is from RNAcentral.
AACGAACGCUGGCGGCAGGCUUAACACAUGCAAGUCGAGCGGCCCGCAAGGGCUGCGGCCUGCGGGUGAGGACCGCCGGGGAACGUACCCCUAGGAUUCGAACAACUCCGGGAGACUGGCGCCAGUACCGGAUAAGCCCUAACGCGGAAAGAUUUAACGAGGAAAGGGGGGCUCGUGGCUGAUUAGCUUGUUGGUGAGGCAACGGUUCACCAGGGGGAUGAUCAGUAUCUGGGCUGAGAGGAUGAGCGGACACACUGGGAUCGAGAAGCGGCCCGGACUCCUACGGGAGGGAGCAGUGGGGAAUAUUGGACAAUGGGGGCAAGCCUGAUCCAGCCAUGCCGGGUGAGUGAUGAAGGCCUUAGGGUUGUAAAGCUCUUUUGUCCGGGAAGAUAAUGACUGUACCGGAAGAAUAAGCCCCGGCUAACUUCGUG